GAUGAAGAACGUAGCGAAAUGCGAUAAGUAAUGUGAAUUGCAGAAUUCAGUGAAUCAUCGAAUCUUUGAACGCACCUUGCGCCCGCCAGUAUUCUGGCGGGCAUGCCUGUUCGAGCGUCAUUUCAACCAUCAAGCCCCGGGCUUGUGUUGGGGCUCUGCGGCUGCCCGCAGGCCCUGAAAACCAGUGGCGGGCUCGCUGUCACUCCGAGCGUAGUAGCACUCGUAUCUCGCUCAGGGCGUGCCGCGGGCUCCGGCCGUUAAACCGCCUCUUUAGCACCCAAAGGUUGACCUCGGAUCAGGUAGGAGGACCCGCUGAACUUAAGCAUAUCAAUAAGCGGAGGA
This 342-nucleotide unclassified non-coding RNA is filed under the name soil metagenome. RNAcentral describes it as "partial contains 5.8S ribosomal RNA, internal transcribed spacer 2, and large subunit ribosomal RNA". The stretch from base 1 to 120 matches the Rfam family "5.8S ribosomal RNA", at positions 35 to 154 of the family's 154-position model. The record is from RNAcentral.